This 974-nucleotide ribosomal RNA is filed under the name Dochmiotrema sp. Kopanang A. RNAcentral's name for it is "SSU rRNA". It matches the Rfam family "Eukaryotic small subunit ribosomal RNA", at positions 790 to 1764 of the family's 1831-position model. Lineage: Eukaryota; Metazoa; Platyhelminthes; Rhabdocoela; Typhloplanidae. The record is from RNAcentral.
CAGAGCUGUAUAGUCUUGCAUGGAAUAAUGGAAUAGGACUUCGGUUCUAUUUUGUUGGUUUUCGGACCCGGAGUAAUGAUUAAAAGAGACUGCCGGGGGCAUUUGUAUGGUGGCGUUAGAGGUGAAAUUCUUGGAUCGCCGCCAGACAAUCUACUGCGAAAGCAUUUGCCAAGAAUGUCUUCAUUAAUCAAGAACGAAAGUCAGAGGUUCGAAGACGAUCAGAUACCGUCCUAGUUCUGACCAUAAACGUUGCCGACCAACAAUCGGGGGUGGUUUGACUUUAUUGACCCUCCCGGCUGUCCCUGGGAAACCUUAAGUAAGGUUCUGGGGGGAAUAUGGUCGCAAGGCCGAAACUUAAAGGAAUUGACGGAAGGGCACCACCAGGAGUGGAGCCUGCGGCUUAAUUUGACUCAACACGGGGAAACUCACCCGGCCCGGACACUGUAAGGAUGGACAGAUUAAAAGCUCUUUCUUGAUUCAGUGGGUGGUGGUGCAUGGCCGUUCUUAGUUGGUGGAGUGAUUUGUCUGGUUAAUUCCGAUAACGAACGAGACUCUGGCCUGCUAAAUAGUACGUCAGUAUUGAUUCUCAGCAAUGGGAAUUCUAGCUGGCGCUGACUUCUUAGAGGGAUACGCAGUAUCCAAACUACAAGAAAUAGAGCAAUAACAGGUCUGUGAUGCCCUUAGAUGUCCGGGGCCGCACGCGCGCUACAAUGACAGCUUCAGAGAGUUUUGAAACCUGGUCCGAAAGGAUUGGGAAAUCUUGGCAUAGCUGUCUCCUCAGGGAUUGGGGCUUGUAACUAUUCCCCAUGAACGAGGAAUUCCCAGUAGGCGCAAGUCAUCAGCUUGCGCCGAUUACGUCCCUGCCCUUUGUACACACCGCCCGUCGCUACUACCGAUUGAAUGGUUUAGUGAGGUCCUCGGAUUGCGGCUUUUGCGAUGGCAACAUUGCUUGAGUUGUGAGAAGACGAUCGAAC